GAUGAACGCUGGCGGCGUGCCUAAUACAUGCAAGUCGAACGCACCGAUCCGCACCUGUCCUUGCUCACAAUUGGGACGAGGGGGUGCGGACGGCGUAGUAACCCGACGUUAACGUAUGGAACAGCUGGGGGAAACACUUGCUAACAGGGGCUAAUACCUCAUAACAGAUUAUGCCGCAGUGCAUAACAGUGAUACUGUCUCUCGGGGAUGGCUCCGCGCUGCAUUAGCUAGUUGGUAAGGUAACGGCUUACCAAGGCAACGAUGCAUAGCCGACCUGAGAGGGUGAUCGGCCACACUGGAACUGAGACACGGCCCAGACUCCUACGGGAGGCAGCAGUAGGGAAUCUUCGGCAAUGGACGAAAGCCUGACCGAGCAACGCCGCGUGAGUGAAGAAGGUUUUCGGAUCGUAAAACUCUGUUGUUAGGGAAGAACAAGUGCGUUAGUAACUGAGCGUACCCUGACGGUAUCUAACCAGAAAGCCACGGCUAACUACGUG
RNAcentral lists this ribosomal RNA (497 nucleotides) under uncultured bacterium. RNAcentral describes it as "partial 16S ribosomal RNA". It matches the Rfam family "Bacterial small subunit ribosomal RNA", at positions 28 to 507 of the family's 1533-position model. The record is from RNAcentral.